UACGUAGGGUGCGAGCGUUGUCCGGAAUUAUUGGGCGUAAAGAGCUCGUAGGCGGUCUGUCGCGUCGGAUGUGAAAACUCGGGGCUCAACCCCGAGCCUGCAUUCGAUACGGGCAGACUAGAGUUCGGUAGGGGAGACUGGAAUUCCUGGUGUAGCGGUGAAAUGCGCAGAUAUCAGGAAGAACACCGAUUGCGAAGGCAGCUCGCUGGGACGUUACUGACGCUGAGACGCGAAAGCGUGGGGAGCAAACAGG
Molecule: ribosomal RNA, 253 nt
Filed under: uncultured bacterium
Lineage: Bacteria
Description: partial 16S ribosomal RNA
Rfam family: Bacterial small subunit ribosomal RNA
Source: RNAcentral